AACGAACGCUGGCGGCAGGCCUAACACAUGCAAGUCGAGCGAGGACUUCGGUCCUAGCGGCGGACGAGCGAGUAACGCGUGGGAACGUGCCCCUUGGUACGGAAUAGCCCCGGGAAACUGGGAGUAAUACCGUAUGAGCUCUUCGGAGGAAAGAUUUAUCGCCAAGGGAUCGGCCCGCGUUGGGUUAGGUAGUUGGUGGGGUAAUGGCCUACCAAGCCGACGAUCCCUAGCUGGUUUGAGUGGAUUAUCAGCCACACUGGGACGGAGACACGGCCCAUACUCCUACGGGAGGCAGCAGUCGGGAAUCUUAGACAAUGGGCGCAAGCCUGAUCUAGCCAUGCCGCGUGAGCGAUGAAGGCCUUAGGGUUGUAAAGCUCUUUCAACUGGGAAGAUAAUGACUGUACCAGCAGAAGAAGCCCCGGCUAACUCCGUGCCAGCCGCCGCAGUAA
RNAcentral lists this ribosomal RNA (449 nucleotides) under uncultured bacterium. Its description in RNAcentral is "partial 16S ribosomal RNA". It matches the Rfam family "Bacterial small subunit ribosomal RNA", at positions 29 to 523 of the family's 1533-position model. The record is from RNAcentral.